CAGAAAGGAAACACAAAAUAUAUGACCUAGCAACCUGACCAGGGUUAAAUGUUAUAGUCACCCAAACUACGGACAUUUUCGCAUCCGUCUACUCCCACGUUCUAAGAGAGUGACAGAAAGGUAAAGAGGAGCAGCCGCAGAAAUGGAUACAGGUCAAGUCUAAGUCGAAUCCAUCCUCUUGAUAUCUCCUUUUGUUUCUGCUAACGAUCUCUUUGAUGAUGGCUGUCAUGUCUGGGAGCCUGUGGCUGAAGAAAAAGGAGGAGAGAGAUGGCAGAAGCUGCUGGUGGCGGGGCUUCUUCUGCAGGAUGGAAAUGGCUCUGGACUUGGCGGUAGCUGAUGCCCCUCGCUCUGCCGCCGCUUGGCUCUGGACCGCAGCCGGGUAAUGGCUGCUGCGGCGGCUGCUGGAUGGUUGCAGCGACUGGGCCUGCUUCUCCUCAGCAGCCAGAGGCCUGGCAGUAGAAGGGGAGAGACCAACUCUCCGGCGUUCCCAGCCCUGGAAAUGGUGACAGGCGACUCAGACCCCCUCCCUGGAGCUGCAGCCGCCGCGGCCGCCGCCGCCGCCGCUUCUCCCCCCCGCUCCAGGAGCGGGAGGUGCCGCCGCCGCCGCCGCGCCUCAGCCGGCUCCCGCCCGAGCCCACGGCUUCCACCUUCCCUUUCAGGAGAAGCCGAGGAAGAGGCUGCACGGUUAGAAAAGACGAAGAGGAGGCGAGAAACGCCGCCGCUGCCGCCGCCGCAGGCCGGCCGGCUCCCCGAGGGCGCUGCCCCCGCGGCUGCUCACAGGCGCUGAGAGGGGCUCCGGGCCGCGGCCGCCGCCGUCUCUCAUCUCCCUCGCCUGAGCCCGGCCUCGCCUCACAGCGGCUCAACUCUCAAACUUCCAUCAUGGCUGCAGCUUCCGAGAGGAG
RNAcentral lists this long non-coding RNA (902 nucleotides) under Homo sapiens (human). RNAcentral's name for it is "non-protein coding lnc-KLLN-2:1". Lineage: Eukaryota; Metazoa; Chordata; Mammalia; Primates; Hominidae. The record is from RNAcentral.